This is a long non-coding RNA of Dreissena polymorpha, 837 nucleotides long. RefSeq lists it as uncharacterized. Lineage: Eukaryota; Metazoa; Mollusca; Bivalvia; Myida; Dreissenidae. The transcript has 3 exons. The record is from RefSeq and is a predicted model, not a curated record.
AGAGAGCAAGCGGCAUGGUGUUAGGUGUAAGGAUGGUCGUAAAGAGGAUUAAUUAAUAUAACGGGAUCUUAUCGGGAGAUGCUUGAUGUUGAUUGCUCCUUUUCGUCGCAUAUGGAUGAUCAGACCAAGUUGCUGUAUGUCAUACGAUGAACUAUGUACAUGUGCAAUAGAGGGGAGAGGGGCAUAUGACAGGAGAGCACCAUGAGUACGUUAGGGACAAGUGAAGUUUUUAAUAGAAACCAGGCUAUAAAAGAGUUAAACUCGUAUUGUUGUUAAAAUUAUUUGUAUGCGUUUGUGUAAUUUUGUUGCCUCGUUUUUAUUUUUUGUGUUAAAUAACUUAUAGAUUUUUAAUGUAUUUGGUCGUUUAUAAAAGUAAUGUUUAAGAAGCGUUUUUCGAUCGGCAUUAAAUUGUUUGCAUUCUAAUAAGUAUUGGAAUUCAUCCCGAAUUUUGUUACAUGUUGUACAGGUUCUUAAACCAAUAGGUGUUCUGUUCCAAUUUCCAACUUCAAUCGGUAGCCUGUGGUUUCUUGUCCUGAUUCUUAUUACAAAUUUUAGAAAUGCAUGUGAUGUGUUUACUAAAUAUGAUUCAAAGCUGAGAUUUCUUUUAAUCAGUUUAUAGAAAGUACUAUAAAUACAGUUAUCAAGUGAUGAUAACCAUUCAUUUAUAAACAGGUCUUUAAGAUUAUGCUUAAUAAAUAGUUUAAGCCAGUCAAUGCUAGGGUAACUGUGUGAGCUCCACACAUGCAUAAUUCCACAUGUUAUUAAAAUUGAUUUGACAUUGAAAAACCAGGGAUAAAGGCGUGUAAGUGACUGAUCGUCAAGAUGUUUGCAUGUAUU